This 451-nucleotide ribosomal RNA is filed under the name uncultured Fibrobacter sp. Its description in RNAcentral is "bacterial SSU rRNA". It matches the Rfam family "Bacterial small subunit ribosomal RNA", at positions 341 to 792 of the family's 1533-position model. Lineage: Bacteria; Pseudomonadati; Fibrobacterota; Fibrobacteria; Fibrobacterales; Fibrobacteraceae. The record is from RNAcentral.
ACGGGAGGCAGCAGUAGGGAAUAUUGCACAAUGGGGGGAACCCUGAUGCAGCAACGCCACGUGUGGGAAGAAGCAUUUCGGUGUGUGAACCACUGUCGUGAGGGAAUAAUGCUUGGCUCCGGCCAAGUUGAAUGUACCUCGAAAUGAAGCACCGGCAAACUUCGUGCCAGCAGCCGCGGUAAUACGAGGGGUGCAAGCGUUGUUCGGAAUCACUGGGCGUAGAGGGAGCGUAGGCGGAGACGCAAGCAGUCUGUACAAUACCGGGGCCCAACCCCGGACCUGCAGACUGGACUGUGUCUCUUGGAUAGUUCAGGGGCAGGCGGAAUUCCUGGUGUAGCGGUGGAAUGCGUAGAGAUCAGGAAGAACACCGAUGGCGAAGGCAGCCUGCUGGGGACUCAUCGACGCUGAGGCUCGAAAGUGCGGGUAGCAAACAGGAUUAGAUACCCUGGUA